ACACAAUUCUCCGAGACAGAAUUUCCAUUUUUCGACCUCUUUCAUUUUUAUUUUGGAAUCCAAAUUUUUAAUGCCGACGCAUUUCAAAUUUUGGAAUUGGAAAGAAAAACAUUGUUUUUAGAGGAAUAGAAUGAAAUUGUUUGUGU
Caenorhabditis elegans is the source of this 146-nucleotide non-coding RNA. The record is from Ensembl. NCBI's taxonomy places the organism in Eukaryota, Metazoa, Nematoda, Chromadorea, Rhabditida, Rhabditidae.